RNAcentral lists this ribosomal RNA (425 nucleotides) under uncultured bacterium. RNAcentral's name for it is "partial 16S ribosomal RNA". It matches the Rfam family "Bacterial small subunit ribosomal RNA", at positions 354 to 796 of the family's 1533-position model. The record is from RNAcentral.
GUGGGGAAUCUUGCGCAAUGGGCGAAAGCCUGACGCAGCCAUGCCGCGUGAAUGAUGAAGGUCUUAGGAUUGUAAAAUUCUUUCACCGGGGACGAUAAUGACGGUACCCGGAGAAGAAGCUCCGGCUAACUUCGUGCCAGCAGCCGCGGUAAUACGAAGGGGGCUAGCGUUGCUCGGAAUUACUGGGCGUAAAGGGCGCGUAGGCGGACAGCUUAGUCAGAGGUGAAAGCCCAGGGCUCAACCUUGGAAUUGCCUUUGAUACUGGCUGUCUUGAGUUUGGGAGAGGUGAGUGGAACUCCGAGUGUAGAGGUGAAAUGCGUAGAUAUAGGAAGGAACACCAGUGGCGAAGGCGACUACCUGGACUGAUACUGACACUGAGGUGCGAAAGCGUGGGGAGCAAACAGGAUUAGAUACCCUAGUAGUCC